RNAcentral lists this transfer RNA (87 nucleotides) under Rhodospirillales bacterium. RNAcentral's name for it is "tRNA-Leu". Lineage: Bacteria; Pseudomonadati; Pseudomonadota; Alphaproteobacteria; Rhodospirillales. The record is from RNAcentral.
GCCGAGGUGAUAAAAUUGGCAACUAAAAGGGUUUCAGGUACCUGUGGCCAAUAGGCCGUGGAAGUUCGAGUCUUCUCCUGGGCACCA